GGCACACAACCCAAGGCUGGCGCUUCCACUGUUGGCGUUCCACCACCCCAUCACAGCAGCAUCCCCCAGUCCCAAACCUCCCCCUUGUUAACGAGGGUAUCAGGGAGCAGGGACAUUCCUGGAGGCUCCAAAGGGAGAGGGAAGAGAGGCAGCAAGGGAGCAAAGCGAGCACAGCUGGGACCCCGGGCUAACCCGAGGGCGGCUGUAUGGGGACAGACGGAACGGGGAAAGCACGGAGCCCCGCGGGCCCGGCCCCGGGCGCGGCUUACCGGGGAAGUCGCAGCGGUAGGGCCGCUCGGGCUCCAGGUGGCUGCGGCGGCGGUGGGCGGCGAGGCGGGCGGCGCUGGGGAAGCGCUGCCCGCACGCCUCGCACUUGUGCGCCGCCUCCUGCUCGUGGGCGCGGCUGUGAGCCCGCAGGUUGUAGACGGUGGUGAAGCGCUUGGAGCAGCCGGGCGCGGCGCAGGCGAAGGGCCGCAGUUUGUCGUGCGAGUGCAGGUGCCGCCGCAGCUUGUAGGCCGUGGCGAAGGACCAGGCGCAGCCCGGCACCGGGCAGCCGAACGGCCGCGCCGCCCCCCCCGCCGCCGGCGCCCCACGGCCGUCCUCCCCUCCGCCUCCGUGCGCCGUGAGGCGGUGCAGCCGCAGCUGCUGCUUGCGGGGGAAGGCCUCCCCGCAGCGCGGCUCAGGGCAGGGGAAGGCCGGCGGGGAGCGCGGCCGCGGGACGCCCGGCGGGGGCUCGGCGGGGCCAGCGGAGGCGGCGGGCGGAGGCGGCGGGGCCGGGGGCGGCGCGGUGCUCGCGGCCUGCUCGGCGCCGGGCCCCAGCGUCAGCACGCCGUUCUCGAUGCGCACCACCAGGCUCUGGUUGUUGAUGGUGAUGGUCCCCGAGAAGGAGCCGUCCUCCGCGCCGCCGUCCCCAUCGCCGUCGCGGGGCGGCGGGGGAGGAGGAGGCGGAGGAGGCGGCGGCGGCGGCGCGGAGCCGGGGCCUUCCUCGGGCGGCUCCGCGGGCGGAGGGCCGGGCUGGGCGCGCCCCGCUUCCCCGUCGCCCGAGCCGGGCUCGGCGUUGCCGCGCACCACGUUGAGGACGAGCAGCAGCCCGUCGCUGUCGGGCGCGGGGCCCGCCGGCGGAGCGCUGGGGCUGGGAGCCGGGCCGGCGCCGGGCUCCGGCUUCUCCUCCACCAGCAGCACCGGGAAGCUCACGUAGAGGCCCGACGCGGCGCUGCUGGCGGCGGAGGAGGAGGCGGCGGUGGAGGCCGCCGGGUCCCAGUCGGGCGGAGGCGGGGGGCGGCCCGGGGCGGCGGGCGGCGCGGCGGGGCCGCCAUGUUGGGCGCCGGGCCGGGCCCGGGCCGCCUCCGCGGCGGGCAGCCCCUGCGUUUCCAUCUUGGGGGUCCCUGUAGCAGCGGCUGA
RNAcentral lists this long non-coding RNA (1401 nucleotides) under Pavo cristatus (Indian peafowl). Its description in RNAcentral is "lncRNA (ENSPSTG00000018645.1)". The record is from RNAcentral. Lineage: Eukaryota; Metazoa; Chordata; Aves; Galliformes; Phasianidae.